CACAGUGCUACGCUGGCUGUGUGAGAGUGUAUUUGUGCGCCGGUGCUGCCAACUAACAUCGCAGUACUUGUUUUAUAAUCUGUACCUGUGCCUUCCAUGCACCAGGUGCCAGGCGCCAGGCUGAGCUCGUGCAGUUAAGAGAGAAAAACAGACAGACAUUCUUAGGGAGCUGUCAGACUGAAAAGAAAUUGUCCUCGGCACCACAAGGAGAAAUGUGUGGGGGGCUGCAUCUAGCCUGAGUGGCCUGGGAGAGCUUGCCGGGGAAGUCAUGUUUAUGCUGAGGUCUAAGGAAGGACAAGGAAGGAGCCUGGCAGAUACUGAGUGGAGGGAACAGUGUUCCAGGCAGAAGGAACAGCAUACACGAAGGCCCUGAGGCACACGUAUGUUCACUUGUUAGGAGAACUCAGAGGACAGUGAGUCUGGAGCGUGGGGAGCCGGGGUGAGAGGACAAGCUGGGAAGGGAGGGACAUACAGGGACAGACCAUGUGGCACCUUGCAGGCCUUACAAAGGGGUUCUGUACUGUUUUAAAACCAGAUCAUUAAAAAAAUACUAAGGCAAGCUUUGCAAGUCAGAGUAAGAUUUUGGCUUUUCAGAAUUCCAAGGUCUAUUGCAAUAUGAAAUCAGUGAAAGGCAUUGCUGAACUCUUUUUUUUUAUUGUUUAUUUUUAUUUACGUACUUGUCUCUGCUAGGUCUCGCUUGCGGCAUGUGGGAUCUAGUUCCUUGACCAGGGAUGGAACCCAGGUCCCCUGCAUUGGGAGCGCAAAGUCUUAACCAUUGGACCAGCAGGGAUGUCCCUGUGGCUAUAAUUCAUGUCUGCUUCUCACAAGCAUUUCACGCACGUGACCCUGCAUUCUGACACCCGCACCCAGGGCAUCAUUACUACCCACGGCCCAUUGACACAGGGAGGCUUUGCAGACGGCCGCCAUCUCCCUGGCCUCCCCGGCGUACCUCUCGUGGGCAGAAGCUUGGACUCUGGGAUCUGGUGUGACCGCCGGGGAAGGCACGGGGUGGGCUGGGCGGGAGGCAGUUUUCCACCCGCCGCCCGCCUCUCCUGUCCAUCAUCCAUCCCCAGCUUCCUCUCACCGGCAGGUCAGCCAGCCCCAAGGAACGCGGCUGUCCUUCAGUAUCUCCCUGAGCUGCUCACACUCAUGUCCAUUAAAUUGAGGCCAUCCAGCCAUCUCAUCCUCUGAGGCCCCCUUCUCCUCCUGCCCUCCAUCUUCCCCAGCAUCAGGGUCUUUUCCAGUGAGCUGGCUCUUUGCAUCUGGUGGCCAAAGUACUGGAGCUUCAACUUCAGUGUCAGUCCUUCCAGUGAAGAAAUUGGAGAAAUUGGAACUGUCCAAAUUCUCCACUGCCGGUGGGAAUGCAGAUGGUGCAGCCAUCAUGGAGAACAGCGUGGCAGUGCCUCAACAAAUUAAGCACAGAAUUACCAUAUGACCCACAAUUCCACUUCUCGGCAUGGACCCAGAGUAGUUGAGAGCAGGCUCUCGAACAGAUAGCUGGAUGCAGAAGGUGGAAGCCACCCAAGAGUCCAGUAACAGGUGAACAGAUGAACAAAGCGUAGUCUCUACAGGCAGUGGAAUAUUACGCAGCCUUAAAAACGAAGGCUGUUCUGACACUUGCUAUGACAUGGAUGAACCCUGAGGACAUCAUGCCCAGUGAAAUAAGCCAGACGCAAAUAGACAAUACUACAUGAUUCCACUUACCUGAGGCCCCUAGAGGAGUCAGAUUCAUAGGGACAGAAAGUAGGCGGUGGGUGCCAGGGGCUGGGAGUUAGUGCUGAAUGGGGAAGCUUCAGUUUGGGAAGACGAAAAGCUUCUGGAGGUGGUGGUGGGGCUGUUUCACAAUGGCCUGGGUGUGCUUAAUGCCCCUGAACUGCACCCUGAAAGGUGGUGGAUUUCAUGUUAGGCGUCUCUGGCUCAGACAGUAAAGAAUCCACCUGCAAUGUGGGAGAGCCAGUUUUGAUCCCUGGGUUGGAAAGAUCCCCUGGAGGAGGGCAUGGCAACCCACUCCAGUAUUCUGGCCUGGAGAAUGCCAUGGACGGAGGAGUCUGGCGGGCUACAGUCCAUAGGGUCACAAAGAGUCAAACAUGACUGAGCGACUAACACUUUCAAUUU
This 2115-nucleotide long non-coding RNA is filed under the name Bos indicus x Bos taurus (hybrid cattle). RNAcentral describes it as "lncRNA (ENSBIXG00000009099.1)". Lineage: Eukaryota; Metazoa; Chordata; Mammalia; Artiodactyla; Bovidae. The record is from RNAcentral.